Molecule: long non-coding RNA, 227 nt
Filed under: Elaeis guineensis (African oil palm)
Lineage: Eukaryota; Viridiplantae; Streptophyta; Magnoliopsida; Arecales; Arecaceae
Description: long non-coding RNA (EGUI_LNC007570)
Source: RNAcentral
GGGUUGGCUCUUGUACUGCCUUCUUCUUCCGUUCUUCAACCUCCAAGGAUCUAACCGACUUUCUUCUCUAUGGCAAUCUCAUUUUGGGGGCCAUAUCCCAAGGAGAGGAUGGAUAAUGGUCAAGAGGGUAGAAAAGGAUGAGGAUUGAAGAGAAACUAAGAGGAGAAGAGGAUUUUGGAGAGUUUCUCAUAGAUUUUAUGGGUUAGGGUUUGGAAUUGGGGGAAAUC